Molecule: ribosomal RNA, 439 nt
Filed under: uncultured bacterium
Lineage: Bacteria
Description: partial 16S ribosomal RNA
Rfam family: Bacterial small subunit ribosomal RNA
Source: RNAcentral
CUACGGGGUGCUGCAGUGGGGAAUAUUGCACAAUGGGCGAAAGCCUGAUGCAGCAACGCCGCGUGGAGGAUGACACAUUUCGGUGCGUAAACUCCUUUUAUAUAAGAAGAUAAUGACGGUAUUAUAUGAAUAAGCACCGGCUAACUCCGUGCCAGCAGCCGCGGUAGUAAGGGGGGUGCAAGCGUUACUCGGAAUCACUGGGCGUAAAGAGCAUGUAGGCUGGAUGACAAGUUGGAAGUGAAAUCCUAUGGCUUAACCAUAGAACUGCUUCCAAAACUGUCUUCCUAGAGUAUGGGAGAGGUAGAUGGAAUGUCUGGUGUAGGGGUAAAAUCCGUAGAGAUCAGAAGGAAUACCGAUUGCGAAGGCGAUCUACUGGAACAUUACUGACGCUCAGAUGCGAAAGCGUGGGGAGCAAACAGGAUUAGAUACCCGGGUAGUC